AGGACGAACGCUGGCGGCGCGCUUAACACAUGCAGGUCGAGCGAGAACCAUUCCUUCGGGAAUGGGGACAGCGGCGAACGGGUGAGUAACACGUGGGUAAUCUGCCCUCGAUUCUGGGAUAGCCCGGGGAAACCCGGAUUAAUACCGGAUAGCCUCUCGAGCUUUCGAGCUCUUGAGAAAAGGUAGCUUCGGCCUCCGAUCGAGGAUGAGCCCGCGGCGGAUUAGCUUGUUGGUGGGGUAAUGGCCUACCAAGGCGACGAUCCGUAGCUGGUCUGAGAGGACGAUC
Molecule: ribosomal RNA, 286 nt
Filed under: uncultured soil bacterium
Lineage: Bacteria
Description: partial 16S ribosomal RNA
Rfam family: Bacterial small subunit ribosomal RNA
Source: RNAcentral